UUGCUAUUAUGAUUAUCUUAAGACACCUUUGGAAAUAACCAUGGGAAAAAAAUGCAUUCUAAGCAAC
Molecule: small nucleolar RNA, 67 nt
Organism: Gopherus evgoodei (Goodes thornscrub tortoise)
Lineage: Eukaryota; Metazoa; Chordata; Testudines; Testudinidae
Gene: SNORD58
Rfam family: Small nucleolar RNA SNORD58
About the family: snoRNA U58 is found in introns 1, 3 and 6 of the ribosomal protein RPL17 gene in humans.
Source: Ensembl